This 976-nucleotide long non-coding RNA is filed under the name Bos grunniens (domestic yak). RNAcentral's name for it is "lncRNA (ENSBGRG00000001642.1)". The record is from RNAcentral. Lineage: Eukaryota; Metazoa; Chordata; Mammalia; Artiodactyla; Bovidae.
AAUUCUAUUUUGGACGUUUCCUCAAAUGUCCUCACUUAGAAUACUUCCAAUGGACUUACUUUUCUUGUUGCUGCUCAUGAAGUUAUACUGAUUAUAUUGACCAGGUAGGCUAUUGGGUUUUGGUUAAUUAAUCUGGAUAGCCCCAGUACCUAACACCAUGCCUGGCAUUAAGUAAAUAUUUUAAAAAUAAGUCAAAUAUGUUUAAAACAUCCAAAGUUGCCCUCAUGCAUAGCGUAUAACUUACAUCUUUUUAUUGUUACCAUGGCAUUAAUAUACUAACCCACUGUUAUUCUGUUGCAUGUCCAUAAUACAGACAAUAUGUUUUCCUCAGAAUUAAAAACUAUUUUAAAUUUUAGAAUAAAGUCUAAAUUAUAUUGUACCAAAUUCUGAUCAGAGGGAAUGUAAAAAUGGCUAGGUAUCUGACCACAUCCAUCCAGAUAAUCUGGUGCAUCUCAGUUAGGUCAGUACUCAUGGGAAGCGUGUUGACUCAUUUUUGGUUUUAUAAAUAAGAAAAUAUAUGCACAAAGGGAGCUUCAUGUCCUGUAAAAGAAGUCAAAUAUGUUUAAAACAUCCAAAGUUGCCCUCAUGCAUAGCGUAUAACUUACAUCUUUUUAUUGUUACCAUGGCAUUAAUAUACUAACCCACUGUUAUUCUGUUGCAUGUCCAUAAUACAGACAAUAUGUUUUCCUCAGAAUUAAAAACUAUUUUAAAUUUUAGAAUAAAGUCUAAAUUAUAUUGUACCAAAUUCUGAUCAGAGGAAUGUAAAAUGGCUAGGUAUCUGACCACAUCCAUCCAGAUAAUCUGGUGCAUCUCAGUUAGGUCAGUACUCAUGGGAAGCGUGUUGACUCAUUUUUGGUUUUAUAAAUAAGAAAAUAUAUGCACAAAGGGAGCUUCAUGUCCUGUAAAAGUCGAACUGAAAAUUAAUGAAAACGAACACUGAAUUUAACUUUAUUUCCUUAGUAAAAAGUACCUAACU